AGUGAACGCUGGCGGUAGGCCUAACACAUGCAAGUCGAACGGCAGCACAGUAAGAGCUUGCUCUUACGGGUGGCGAGUGGCGGACGGGUGAGGAAUACAUCGGAAUCUACUUUUUCGUGGGGGAUAACGUAGGGAAACUUACGCUAAUACCGCAUACGACCUACGGGUGAAAGCAGGGGAUCUUCGGACCUUGCGCGAUUGAAUGAGCCGAUGUCGGAUUAGCUAGUUGGCGGGGUAAAGGCCCACCAAGGCGACGAUCCGUAGCUGGUCUGAGAGGAUGGUCAGCCACCCUGGCACUGAGACACGGUCCAGACUCCUACGGGAGGCAGCAGUGGGGAAUAUUGGACAAUGGGCGCAAGCCUGAUCCAGCCAUACCGCGUGGGUGAAGAAGGCCUUCGGGUUGUAAAGCCCUUUUGUUGGGAAAGAAAAGCAGCAGGUUAAUACCCCGCUGUUCUGACGGUACCCAAAGAAUAAGCACCGGCUAACUUCGUG
RNAcentral lists this ribosomal RNA (492 nucleotides) under uncultured bacterium. Its description in RNAcentral is "partial 16S ribosomal RNA". It matches the Rfam family "Bacterial small subunit ribosomal RNA", at positions 29 to 507 of the family's 1533-position model. The record is from RNAcentral.